UACAGGGGGGGGCAAGCGUUGUUCGGAAUUACUGGGCGUAAAGGGCUCGGAGGUGGCCAACUAAGUCGGACGUGAAAUCCCUCGGCUUAACCGGGGAACUGCGUCUGAUACUGGAUGGCUUGAGAUUGGGAGAGGGAUGCGGAAUUCCAGGUGUAGCGGUGAAAUGCGUAGAUAUCUGGAGGAACACCGGUGGCGAAGGCGGCAUCCUGGACCAACACUGACACUGAGGAGCGAAAGCCAGGGGAGCAAACGGG
Molecule: ribosomal RNA, 254 nt
Filed under: uncultured bacterium
Lineage: Bacteria
Description: partial 16S ribosomal RNA
Rfam family: Bacterial small subunit ribosomal RNA
Source: RNAcentral